This 86-nucleotide transfer RNA is filed under the name Streptomyces roseiscleroticus. RNAcentral's name for it is "tRNA-Thr". Lineage: Bacteria; Bacillati; Actinomycetota; Actinomycetes; Kitasatosporales; Streptomycetaceae. The record is from RNAcentral. RNAcentral also lists the same sequence under 1 other name.
GGGGUGGUGCGGGUUGCGGCCGGGACCGGGCGACCUGGUGGGUCACCCGGGCCGCACGAGCCGUUCGGGACGGACGUCCUCCCGCC